This 2788-nucleotide ribosomal RNA is filed under the name human gut metagenome. RNAcentral's name for it is "bacterial LSU rRNA". It matches the Rfam family "Bacterial large subunit ribosomal RNA". The record is from RNAcentral.
AGCGUACACGGUGGAUGCCCUGGCAGUCAGAGGCGAUGAAGGACGUGCUAAUCUGCGAUAAGCGUCGGUGAGGUGAUAUGAACCGUUAUAACCGGCGAUUUCCGAAUGGGGAAACCCAGUGUGUUUCGACACACUAUCAUUAACUGAAUCCAUAGGUUAAUGAGGCGAACCGGGGGAACUGAAACAUCUAAGUACCCCGAGGAAAAGAAAUCAACCGAGAUUCCCCCAGUAGCGGCGAGCGAACGGGGAGCAGCCCAGAGUCUGAAUCAGUGUGUGUGUUAGUGGAAGCGUCUGGAAAGGCGCGCGAUACAGGGUGACAGCCCCGUACACAAAAAUGCACAUGCUGUGAGCUCGAUGAGUAGGGCGGGACACGUGGUAUCCUGUCUGAAUAUGGGGGGACCAUCCUCCAAGGCUAAAUACUCCUGACUGACCGAUAGUGAACCAGUACCGUGAGGGAAAGGCGAAAAGAACCCCGGCGAGGGGAGUGAAAAAGAACCUGAAACCGUGUACGUACAAGCAGUGGGAGCCUCUUAAUGGGGUGACUGCGUACCUUUUGUAUAAUGGGUCAGCGACUUAUAUUCUGUAGCAAGGUUAACCGAAUAGGGGAGCCGAAGGGAAACCGAGUCUUAACUGGGCGUUAAGUUGCAGGGUAUAGACCCGAAACCCGGUGAUCUAGCCAUGGGCAGGUUGAAGGUUGGGUAACACUAACUGGAGGACCGAACCGACUAAUGUUGAAAAAUUAGCGGAUGACUUGUGGCUGGGGGUGAAAGGCCAAUCAAACCGGGAGAUAGCUGGUUCUCCCCGAAAGCUAUUUAGGUAGCGCCUCGUGAAUUCAUCUCCGGGGGUAGAGCACUGUUUCGGCAAGGGGGUCAUCCCGACUUACCAACCCGAUGCAAACUGCGAAUACCGGAGAAUGUUAUCACGGGAGACACACGGCGGGUGCUAACGUCCGUCGUGAAGAGGGAAACAACCCAGACCGCCAGCUAAGGUCCCAAAGUCAUGGUUAAGUGGGAAACGAUGUGGGAAGGCCCAGACAGCCAGGAUGUUGGCUUAGAAGCAGCCAUCAUUUAAAGAAAGCGUAAUAGCUCACUGGUCGAGUCGGCCUGCGCGGAAGAUGUAACGGGGCUAAACCAUGCACCGAAGCUGCGGCAGCGACGCUUAUGCGUUGUUGGGUAGGGGAGCGUUCUGUAAGCCUGUGAAGGUGUGCUGUGAGGCAUGCUGGAGGUAUCAGAAGUGCGAAUGCUGACAUAAGUAACGAUAAAGCGGGUGAAAAGCCCGCUCGCCGGAAGACCAAGGGUUCCUGUCCAACGUUAAUCGGGGCAGGGUGAGUCGACCCCUAAGGCGAGGCCGAAAGGCGUAGUCGAUGGGAAACAGGUUAAUAUUCCUGUACUUGGUGUUACUGCGAAGGGGGGACGGAGAAGGCUAUGUUGGCCGGGCGACGGUUGUCCCGGUUUAAGCGUGUAGGCUGGUUUUCCAGGCAAAUCCGGAAAAUCAAGGCUGAGGCGUGAUGACGAGGCACUACGGUGCUGAAGCAACAAAUGCCCUGCUUCCAGGAAAAGCCUCUAAGCAUCAGGUAACAUCAAAUCGUACCCCAAACCGACACAGGUGGUCAGGUAGAGAAUACCAAGGCGCUUGAGAGAACUCGGGUGAAGGAACUAGGCAAAAUGGUGCCGUAACUUCGGGAGAAGGCACGCUGAUAUGUAGGUGAAGCGACUUGCUCGUGGAGCUGAAAUCAGUCGAAGAUACCAGCUGGCUGCAACUGUUUAUUAAAAACACAGCACUGUGCAAACACGAAAGUGGACGUAUACGGUGUGACGCCUGCCCGGUGCCGGAAGGUUAAUUGAUGGGGUUAGCGGCAACGCGAAGCUCUUGAUCGAAGCCCCGGUAAACGGCGGCCGUAACUAUAACGGUCCUAAGGUAGCGAAAUUCCUUGUCGGGUAAGUUCCGACCUGCACGAAUGGCGUAAUGAUGGCCAGGCUGUCUCCACCCGAGACUCAGUGAAAUUGAACUCGCUGUGAAGAUGCAGUGUACCCGCGGCAAGACGGAAAGACCCCGUGAACCUUUACUAUAGCUUGACACUGAACAUUGAGCCUUGAUGUGUAGGAUAGGUGGGAGGCUUUGAAGUGUGGACGCCAGUCUGCAUGGAGCCGACCUUGAAAUACCACCCUUUAAUGUUUGAUGUUCUAACGUUGACCCGUAAUCCGGGUUGCGGACAGUGUCUGGUGGGUAGUUUGACUGGGGCGGUCUCCUCCUAAAGAGUAACGGAGGAGCACGAAGGUUGGCUAAUCCUGGUCGGACAUCAGGAGGUUAGUGCAAUGGCAUAAGCCAGCUUGACUGCGAGCGUGACGGCGCGAGCAGGUGCGAAAGCAGGUCAUAGUGAUCCGGUGGUUCUGAAUGGAAGGGCCAUCGCUCAACGGAUAAAAGGUACUCCGGGGAUAACAGGCUGAUACCGCCCAAGAGUUCAUAUCGACGGCGGUGUUUGGCACCUCGAUGUCGGCUCAUCACAUCCUGGGGCUGAAGUAGGUCCCAAGGGUAUGGCUGUUCGCCAUUUAAAGUGGUACGCGAGCUGGGUUUAGAACGUCGUGAGACAGUUCGGUCCCUAUCUGCCGUGGGCGCUGGAGAACUGAGGGGGGCUGCUCCUAGUACGAGAGGACCGGAGUGGACGCAUCACUGGUGUUCGGGUUGUCAUGCCAAUGGCACUGCCCGGUAGCUAAAUGCGGAAGAGAUAAGUGCUGAAAGCAUCUAAGCACGAAACUUGCCCCGAGAUGAGUUCUCCCUGACUCCUUGA